This 28-nucleotide ribosomal RNA is filed under the name Archaeospora trappei. Its description in RNAcentral is "partial 28S ribosomal RNA". The record is from RNAcentral. Lineage: Eukaryota; Fungi; Glomeromycota; Glomeromycetes; Archaeosporales; Archaeosporaceae.
UGACCUCAAAUCAGGUAGGAUUACCCGC